This is a long non-coding RNA of Erinaceus europaeus (western European hedgehog), 482 nucleotides long. RefSeq lists it as uncharacterized. The record is from RefSeq and is a predicted model, not a curated record. Lineage: Eukaryota; Metazoa; Chordata; Mammalia; Eulipotyphla; Erinaceidae. The transcript is spliced from 2 exons.
CAAGGUAAACCCAUACUAAUGCCAAUGUCCUCAGUGUCAGUGUAGAAGUGCUUUGAGCUUGCCACCCUACGGACACGGAAGCCUGCUGGACCCUGCGUGCACUUCAGACACUGCCAAUAAAGCCCAGUUGUACAACAGACUCUGGCGGAAACUAGAAGUGCUACAAACCUGCUGUGAGAACCACAGGCAGCAAAAUAAGACAGUAACUUGGGCGAGGGAUAUGAACGUCCAUUUGAAGUCUAGUUGCUGUGUGUUCCGACUGCAAUAGGACCGACCUUUGGCUCUCCUUCCCUGGGCUUCUGUGCUCUCAGAUGCAACCUCACCAGCUUCCUGCCCUCAUGCCACUGUGCCCUGCCUCUCCAGACUUCACCUCUACCUCCCCCCUGCCAGGAAAGAUGAUCUUCUUCUUCAGUCUACCUUCAUCCUACCACUGAUCUUUAGGUGCUUAAUUCAGACCGCAAGCAGAUUCUUUUCAGAGUGAA